UACGGGGGGGGCAAGCGUUGUUCGGAAUUACUGGGCGUAAAGGGCUCGUAGGCGGCCAACUAAGUCGGAUGUGAAAUCCCCAGGCUUAACCUGGGAACUGCAUCCGAUACUGGAUGGCUUGAAUCCGGGAGAGGGAUGCAGAAUUCCAGGUGUAGCGGUGAAAUGCGCAGAUAUCGGGAGGAACACCUAUGGCGAAGGCAGCUCGCUGGGACGUUACUGACGCUGAGACGCGAAAGCCAGGGGAGCGAACGGG
RNAcentral lists this ribosomal RNA (253 nucleotides) under uncultured bacterium. Its description in RNAcentral is "partial 16S ribosomal RNA". It matches the Rfam family "Bacterial small subunit ribosomal RNA", at positions 524 to 776 of the family's 1533-position model. The record is from RNAcentral.